Molecule: ribosomal RNA, 832 nt
Filed under: uncultured bacterium
Lineage: Bacteria
Description: bacterial SSU rRNA
Rfam family: Bacterial small subunit ribosomal RNA
Source: RNAcentral
AGAGUUUGAUCCUGGCUCAGGAUGAACGCUAGCUACAGGCUUAACACAUGCAAGUCGAGGGGCAGCAUGGUCUUAGCUUGCUAAGGCCGAUGGCGACCGGCGCACGGGUGAGUAACACGUAUCCAACCUGCCGUCUACUCUUGGACAGCCUUCUGAAAGGAAGAUUAAUACAAGAUGGCAUCAUGAGUCCGCAUGUUCACAUGAUUAAAGGUAUUCCGGUAGACGAUGGGGAUGCGUUCCAUUAGAUAGUAGGCGGGGUAACGGCCCACCUAGUCUUCGAUGGAUAGGGGUUCUGAGAGGAAGGUCCCCCACAUUGGAACUAAGACACGGUCCAAACUCCUACGGGAGGCAGCAGUGAGGAAUAUUGGUCAAUGGGCGUAAGCCUGAACCAGCCAAGUCGCGUGAGGGAUGAAGGUUCUAUGGAUCGUAAACCUCUUUUAUAAGGGAAUAAAGUUCGGGACGUGUCCCGUUUUGUAUGUACCUUAUGAAUAAGGAUCGGCUAACUCCGUGCCAGCAGCCGCGGUAAUACGGAGGAUCCGAGCGUUAUCCGGAUUUAUUGGGUUUAAAGGGUGCGUAGGCGGCCUUUUAAGUCAGCGGUGAAAGUCUGUGGCUCAACCAUAGAAUUGCCGUUGAAACUGGGGGGCUUGAGUAUGUUUGAGGCAGGCGGAAUGCGUGGUGUAGCGGUGAAAUGCUUAGAUAUCACGCAGAACCCCGAUUGCGAAGGCAGCCUGCCAAGCCAUGACUGACGCUGAUGCACGAAAGCGUGGGGAUCAAACAGGAUUAGAUACCCUGGUAGUCCACGCAGUAAACGAUGAUCACUAGCUGUUUGCGA